This 586-nucleotide ribosomal RNA is filed under the name Sclerotinia sclerotiorum. Its description in RNAcentral is "eukaryotic LSU rRNA". The stretch from base 219 to 381 matches the Rfam family "5.8S ribosomal RNA". Lineage: Eukaryota; Fungi; Ascomycota; Leotiomycetes; Helotiales; Sclerotiniaceae. The record is from RNAcentral.
GUUAAAGUAACAAGGUUUCCGUAGGUGAACCUGCGGAAGGAUCAUUACAGAGUUCAUGCCCGACCAAGGGUAGACCUCCCACCUGGACUUGUGUAUUAUUACUUUGUGUGUGCUUUGGCGAGCUGCUCUUCGGGGCCUUGUAUGCUCAAGCCAGAGAAAACUCUUAUCAAAACUCGCAGCUUUUUAUUAAUGUCGUCUGAGUACUAUAUAAUAGUUAAAACUUUCAACAACGGAUCUCUUGGUUCUGGCAUCGAUGAAGAACGCAGCGAAAUGCGAUAAGUAAUGUGAAUUGCAGAAUUCAGUGAAUCAUCGAAUCUUUGAACUGCACAUUGACCGCCCCUUGAAUUAUGUAUUCCGGGGGGCAUGCCUGUUCGAGCGUCAUUUCAACCCUCAAGCUCCUCAGAGCUUGGUAUUGAGUCCAUGUCAGUAAUGGCAGGCUCUAAAAUCAGUGGCGGCGCCGCUGGGUCCUGAACGUAGUAAUAUCUCUCGUUACAGGUUCUCGGUGUGCUUCUGCCAAAACCCAAAUUUUCUAUGGUUGACCUCGGAUCAGGUAGGGAUACCCGCUGAACUUAAGCAUAUCAAUAGG